This 397-nucleotide ribosomal RNA is filed under the name uncultured bacterium. RNAcentral describes it as "partial 16S ribosomal RNA". It matches the Rfam family "Bacterial small subunit ribosomal RNA", at positions 523 to 918 of the family's 1533-position model. The record is from RNAcentral.
AUACGUAGGGGGCGAGCGUUGUCCGGAAUGAUUGGGCGUAAAGGGCGCGUAGGCGGCCCGGUAAGUCUGGAGUGAAAGUCCUGUUUUUAAGAUGGGAAUUGCUUUGGAUACUGUCGGGCUUGAGUGCAAGAGAGGUAAGUGGAAUUCCCAGUGUAGCGGUGAAAUGCGUAGAGAUUGGGAGGAACACCAGUGGCGAAGGCGACUUACUGGACUGUAACUGACGCUGAGGCGCGAAAGUGUGGGGAGCAAACAGGAUUAGAUACCCUGGUAGUCCACACUGUAAACGAUGAAUGCUAGGUGUAGGGGGUAUCGACCCCUUCUGUGCCGCAGUCAACACAAUAAGCAUUCCGCCUGGGGAGUACGGCCGCAAGGUUGAAACUCAAAUGAAUUGGCGGGG